CCUGAGGCUUAUGCUCCUAGUUGCCUGC
This 28-nucleotide non-coding RNA is filed under the name Rattus norvegicus (Norway rat). The record is from RNAcentral. Lineage: Eukaryota; Metazoa; Chordata; Mammalia; Rodentia; Muridae.